RNAcentral lists this transfer RNA (73 nucleotides) under Stegodyphus mimosarum. It matches the Rfam family "tRNA". Rfam says of the family: Transfer RNA (tRNA) molecules are approximately 80 nucleotides in length. Lineage: Eukaryota; Metazoa; Arthropoda; Arachnida; Araneae; Eresidae. The record is from Rfam by way of RNAcentral.
GCCUUCGUGGUGUAGUGGGCAGCAUACUCGAUGCGUAACCGAGAGGUUCGUAGUUCGAUUCCCUGUGAAGGCG